AUCCGAACUUGAGCUUGCUGUCGGACUUCUGAAAGUAGAUCUAAGUCGGAUCUUCGACAUUCUGAAUUGCUCAGCUCACUAUAUUGUUUCAUCCUUGCUGAUGGUAAUUCGAUUUUGAGUGGGAUCAUUGCUUCUGUUCCAUAAGCUAAAUUGAACGGUGAUUCUCUCAUUGGUAUGUGAGAAGUCGUUCGGUACGUCCAUA
This 202-nucleotide long non-coding RNA is filed under the name Elaeis guineensis (African oil palm). RNAcentral describes it as "long non-coding RNA (EGUI_LNC013399)". The record is from RNAcentral. Lineage: Eukaryota; Viridiplantae; Streptophyta; Magnoliopsida; Arecales; Arecaceae.